RNAcentral lists this ribosomal RNA (597 nucleotides) under uncultured bacterium. RNAcentral's name for it is "bacterial SSU rRNA". It matches the Rfam family "Bacterial small subunit ribosomal RNA", at positions 9 to 648 of the family's 1533-position model. The record is from RNAcentral.
GAGUUUGAUCCUGGCUCAGAACGAACGCUGGCGGCAGGCUUAACACAUGCAAGUCGAACGCGUGUAGCAAUACACGAGUGGCGCACGGGUGAGUAACGCGUGGAUAUCUGCCUUUUGGUUCGGAAUAACCCCGGGAAACUGGGGCUAAUACCGGAUGGUUCCUUCGGGAUAAAGAUUUAUCGCCAAAAGAUGAGUCCGCGUACGAUUAGCUAGUUGGUGAGGUAAUGGCUCACCAAGGCGACGAUCGUUAGCUGGUCUGAGAGGACGAUCAGCCACACUGGGACUGAGACACGGCCCAGACUCCUACGGGAGGCAGCAGUGGGGAAUAUUGGACAAUGGGGGCAACCCUGAUCCAGCCAUGCCGCGUGAGUGAUGAAGNGCCUUCGGGUUGUAAAGCUCUUUUGGCGGGGACGAUGAUGACGGUACCCGCAGAAUAAGCCCCGGCUAACUUCGUGCCAGCAGCCGCGGUAAGACGAAGGGGGCUAGCGUUGUUCGGAAUUACUGGGCGUAAAGCGAGUGUAGGCGGUUGUCAUAGUCAGGUGUGAAAGCCUUGAGCUCAACUCAAGAAAUGCACUUGAUACUGGUGCGACUAGAAGG